RNAcentral lists this long non-coding RNA (313 nucleotides) under Durio zibethinus. RNAcentral describes it as "long non-coding RNA (DZIB_LNC001287)". The record is from RNAcentral. Lineage: Eukaryota; Viridiplantae; Streptophyta; Magnoliopsida; Malvales; Malvaceae.
GUACCACGACUUAAGCGCUAGGUCUGGCCUAGUCUACUUGAAAAAAAGGUUGGAGGAACUCUUGUCCCAGUUCUUCUAUUCCUACUCUGUCUCCUUCUCUAUAUUAACUCCCAAGGUCAGUGAGUCUCAUAGCAAACCAGUCGUUCAUCUCGCUUGGGUUGGUGUUUAAGUAAGAAGCCUUUUUCUCUGGGUUAUGACCUGUAAGGCCUCGCUCACUCAGUUGCUGACUUCUAUUUUAUUAAGUAAAAAUUUUUUUGUUAAACCAAAUAUAAAUAUUUUUAUUAUAAUCUAAAUAAAAUUGUGAAUAAUUUUU